This 126-nucleotide ribosomal RNA is filed under the name Trichoderma virens. Its description in RNAcentral is "partial large subunit ribosomal RNA". Lineage: Eukaryota; Fungi; Ascomycota; Sordariomycetes; Hypocreales; Hypocreaceae. The record is from RNAcentral.
CGGCAACAGCUCAAAUUUGAAAUCUGGCCCCUCGGGGUCCGAGUUGUAAUUUGUAGAGGAUGCUUUUGGUGAGGUGCCGCCCGAGUUCCCUGGAACGGGACGCCACAGAGGGUGAGAGCCCCGUCU